AGCAGCCGCGGUAAUUCCAGCUCCAAUAGCGUAUAUUAAAGUUGUUGCAGUUAAAAAGCUCGUAGUUGAAUUUCGGGGUUAGCAGGUCGGUCGUGCCAUUGGUAUGAACUGGUCUCGCUGAUCCCUCCCUCUUGACGAACUGUGAUGCCAUUAAUUUGGUGUCGCAGGGAAUCAGGACUGUUACUUUGAAAAAUUAGAGUGUUUAAAGCAGGCUCACGCUUGAAUACAUUAGCAUGGAAUAAUGAAAUAGGACGUUUGAUCCUAUUUUGUUGGCUUCUAGGAUUGACGUAAUGAUUAAUAGGGAUAGUUGGGGGCAUUAGUAUUCAAUUGUCAGAGGUGAAAUUCUUGGAUUUAUUGAAGACUAACUACUGCGAAAGCAUUUGCCAAGGAUGUUUUCAUUAAUCAAGAACGAAAGUUAGGGGAUCGAAGACGAUCAGAUACCGUCGUAGUCUUAACCAUAAACUAUGCCGACUAGGGAUCGGAUGAUGUUAAUUUUUUAAUGUACUCAUUCC
This 512-nucleotide unclassified non-coding RNA is filed under the name uncultured Glomus. RNAcentral describes it as "SSU rRNA". It matches the Rfam family "Eukaryotic small subunit ribosomal RNA", at positions 569 to 1082 of the family's 1831-position model. The record is from RNAcentral. Lineage: Eukaryota; Fungi; Glomeromycota; Glomeromycetes; Glomerales; Glomeraceae.